GCCUUACACAUGCAAGUCGAACGGUAACAGGUCUUCGGACGCUGACGAGUGGCGAACGGGUGAGUAAUACAUCGGAACGUGCCCAGUCGUGGGGGAUAACUACUCGAAAGAGUAGCUAAUACCGCAUACGAUCUGAGGAUGAAAGCGGGGGACCUUCGGGCCUCGCGCGAUUGGAGCGGCCGAUGGCAGAUUAGGUAGUUGGUGGGAUAAAAGCUUACCAAGCCGACGAUCUGUAGCUGGUCUGAGAGGACGACCUGCCACACUGGGACUGAGACACGGCCCAGACUCCUACGGGAGGCAGCAGUGGGGAAUUUUGGACAAUGGGCGAAAGCCUGAUCCAGCAAUGCCGCGUGCAGGAUGAAGGCCUUCGGGUUGUAAACUGCUUUUGUACGGAACGAAAAAGCUUCUCCUAAUACGAGAGGCCCAUGACGGUACCGUAAGAAUAAGCACCGGCUAACUACGUGCCAGCAGCCGCGGUAAUACGUAGGGUGCGAGCGUUAAUCGGAAUUACUGGGCGUAAAGCGUGCGCAGGCGGUUAUGUAAGACAGAUGUGAAAUCCCCGGGCACAACCUGGGAACUGCAUUUGUGACUGCAUGGCUAGAGUACGGUAGAGGGGGGA
Molecule: ribosomal RNA, 619 nt
Filed under: uncultured bacterium
Lineage: Bacteria
Description: bacterial SSU rRNA
Rfam family: Bacterial small subunit ribosomal RNA
Source: RNAcentral